Molecule: unclassified non-coding RNA, 102 nt
Organism: Cavia porcellus (domestic guinea pig)
Lineage: Eukaryota; Metazoa; Chordata; Mammalia; Rodentia; Caviidae
Rfam family: Y RNA
About the family: Y RNAs are components of the Ro ribonucleoprotein particle (Ro RNP), in association with Ro60 and La proteins.
Source: Ensembl
GGCUGGUCCAAUGGCAGUGGGUUAUCAGAACUUAUUAACAUUAGUGUCAUAAAGUUGGUGUACCACCGCCCUCCCCCCACUGCUAAAUUUGACUGGCUUUAA